Molecule: non-coding RNA, 165 nt
Filed under: Lacicoccus alkaliphilus
Lineage: Bacteria; Bacillati; Bacillota; Bacilli; Caryophanales; Salinicoccaceae
Also listed under: 1 other name
Description: Salinicoccus alkaliphilus Lysine sequence
Rfam family: Lysine riboswitch aptamer
About the family: Riboswitches are metabolite binding domains within certain messenger RNAs that serve as precision sensors for their corresponding targets. Allosteric rearrangement of mRNA structure is mediated by ligand binding, and this results in modulation of gene expression.
Source: RNAcentral
UAGAAAAGUAGAGGUUGCGACCAUUAUCAGUAUGGAUGACGAGCAGGCAUGCGUCCGAGUCAUUUUGAAAGGAAUGGUGGCCGAAGGGGGUUUUUGGCGGAAGACUUCCUGGGACCGGGUUUAAGAGGCCCGGUACUGUCAUUAUGAUGAUGCGCUACACACGAA